This 839-nucleotide ribosomal RNA is filed under the name Tevnia jerichonana. RNAcentral's name for it is "small subunit ribosomal RNA". The record is from RNAcentral. Lineage: Eukaryota; Metazoa; Annelida; Polychaeta; Sabellida; Siboglinidae.
AUUCAGUUUGAUUCUAGCUCAAUAUUAGCUAUUCCUAACAAAAACACAUGCAAACCCUAAUACCCCCGUGAAAAAUCAUUUUUAGUUAAAAAUUUAAUAUUAAUAAUUUAAAACAUGAUAAAAGAUCAAUUUUAUAAUAAUUACACCUUAAAGCAUUCUCACGCCUGCAGUGACUAAUCCUGUAAAGUCUAGAAAUACAGCUCCGGCUAUAGGAACUUAGAGUUGGUUAAAUCCGUGCCAGCUACCGCGGUUAAACGGUAGACUCAAGCUAAUAAUUUCGGAAACUAUGAUACUUAGAUAAAAACCUCUUCAAAAGAAGUCUAAUUCUAUCAAUUCUUCAAAACCAGAUAUAUCUUUUUAACUUCUCAUGAAAGCCUAAAUAAAAACAAGGAUUAGAUACCCUUUUAUUCUAGGCCCAAAAUUAUCCAGGGCACUACAAACACAGGUUUAAAACCCAAAGAACUUGGCGGUACCUAAAUCCAAUCAGGGGAACCUGUCCUUUAAUUCGACAAUCCACGAAAAUUUUACCUUCUUUUGAAUACUCAGCUUGUAUACUGCCGUCGUCAGCCCACCAUAAAAAUGUAAGUGAGCCAACAGAUUUUUAUCUUCACGUCAGGUCAAAGUGCAGCCUAUAAGAAGGAAGAGAUGGGUUACAAUUUUAAAUCUAAAUAUGAAUUAUUAAUGAAAAUAAAUAUAAAAGUGGACUUGAAAGUAAUUAAAAGUAACCUACUUUUAUGAAUAUGGCAACCUAAGGUGUGCACACAUCGCCCGUCACUCUCGCCGAAAGGGGAGAUAAGUCGUAACAUAGCAGGUGUAAUGGAAAUUGUACCUUCAAAAUA